This 805-nucleotide ribosomal RNA is filed under the name uncultured bacterium. RNAcentral describes it as "bacterial SSU rRNA". It matches the Rfam family "Bacterial small subunit ribosomal RNA", at positions 8 to 802 of the family's 1533-position model. The record is from RNAcentral.
AGAGUUUGAUCCUGGCUCAGAGUGAACGCUGGCGGUAGGCCUAACACAUGCAAGUCGAACGGCAGCACAGAGGAGCUUGCUCCUUGGGUGGCGAGUGGCGGACGGGUGAGGAAUACAUCGGAAUCUACUUUUUCGUGGGGGAUAACGUAGGGAAACUUACGCUAAUACCGCAUACGACCUACGGGUGAAAGCAGGGGAUCUUCGGACCUUGCGCGAUUGAAUGAGCCGAUGUCGGAUUAGCUAGUUGGCGGGGUAAAGGCCCACCAAGGCGACGAUCCGUAGCUGGUCUGAGAGGAUGAUCAGCCACACUGGAACUGAGACACGGUCCAGACUCCUACGGGAGGCAGCAGUGGGGAAUAUUGGACAAUGGGCGCAAGCCUGAUCCAGCCAUACCGCGUGGGUGAAGAAGGCCUUCGGGUUGUAAAGCCCUUUUGUUGGGAAAGAAAUCCAGCCGGCUAAUACCUGGUUGGGAUGACGGUACCCAAAGAAUAAGCACCGGCUAACUUCGUGCCAGCAGCCGCGGUAAUACGAAGGGUGCAAGCGUUACUCGGAAUUACUGGGCGUAAAGCGUGCGUAGGUGGUUAUUUAAGUCCGUUGUGAAAGCCCUGGGCUCAACCUGGGAACUGCAGUGGAUACUGGAUGACUAGAAUGUGGUAGAGGGUAGCGGAACUCCUGGUGUGGCAGUGAAAUGCGUAGAGAUCAGGAGGAACAUCCAUGGCGAAGGCAGCUACCUGGACCAACAUUGACACUGAGGCACGAAAGCGUGGGGAGUAAACAGGAUUAGAUACCCUGGUAGUCAAGGGCG